RNAcentral lists this small RNA (2167 nucleotides) under Drosophila pseudoobscura pseudoobscura. RNAcentral's name for it is "GA31156". The record is from RNAcentral. Lineage: Eukaryota; Metazoa; Arthropoda; Insecta; Diptera; Drosophilidae.
CGUCGUCGUCGUCGUCGUUGUCGUCAUCGGGGGCACCUCUCUAUGGUAGUAGUUGGUGUCAGGCGGUAGAGAAACAAAAAGACAAGUCUGGUAGCCGACAUGCCCUGUCACAUUAUUCCCCAAAGCUGUCAAAAACAGAAGAAACAACAGAAAAUGUCACACCUCUGGGUGGUACGGGUGACACCUUUUGACACUUGUCCAAAGUGCAUCGAUGGCAAACACAGGAAAUGUGCUACUUCUGGCAAUGGAUUCUCCUUAAACAUUUCGGAGCAACGCAGAAUCCAGAGCUAUUUCCGUUCCCUCGCAAACAAAUGUUUUGAUCGGUCUGACUAAAAACUAGAAAUAUUAGCUGGCAUUUUCAAAACGGAUGUACUCGCAUAUGCGAAUAAGCUCCAGGCCAGUUGCACCCGACACCUUGUGGGACAGUCGUGGCCAUUGCACAUCGGGGGACCGUCAGUGUUCAACACGGACAAACAAGUGGGCAAGUGGUAGACAAAAUUCUCAUUAACUAAAUAAACUUAUGACAGAUGGAAUAUACAAAUGACGGGCAUUAAUCGCAUACACACGCAAAACAAGUUUCCCAGAUCUGUCUGCCUGGGCGAAUCAUUUAGCAAAUUAAAUUUGCAUUUCACAGUGUUUUUCUACGAGUGCAAAAAGAAGCGCUAGAAUAAGCAGUGUGCGGAAUCCCCUACAUAUUUACACAAGGGUCAUUCAGGCGGUGGAAUUUACGGGAAAAUUAAACAUUUUUGAAAGUUAAAAAGGUUAAUGGAUUUCCUAGGAAUUUGAUUCGUUAUUUUGCCAAAAAUCGCCACCUAACACAUGUCUUGAGGCGCCCCCUAGAGCCCCCUAAUGGCUCCUCGCUGCCAGGGAGGAACGCAUUCCUAGAUGUGCGAGUGUCGGAGGUGUGCGAACCGCUUCGAAAUGCUUUUAUAAUGAGCUAAUAAUCAAUCCCCGAGAGCACCUGUUGCCAGCACGCCAGCGACGACGAGAGCAAACUGCCAAGUAAUUAAGAGAUUUCCUUGGAGCCCAGUCUCUGAGCGGUUCGAUUGGAUUAGAUUGGCCCAGAUGCACUCAGUUCCAGUAUCAGAUGUGGCUUUGCUUUCUUAUACCCUCGCUAGGGAGGGUAUUGUUAUUUCGAGGGGAUCUUAGCAACGCCUUUGAUUUUGGUGCACCCAAUCUGUAGGACAGAGCAGCCAAGAUCGGAUCUUCUUUGAUUGAGAAUAUCGAUAAUUAAAAGUAAACUGCCAUAGGAUCGAUGGGUGUGCAAGGGUAUCAAUAGCUUCGGAUCCCGAUGCAGGUCUUCGUUUCUCGAUUUGUUUUUGUGCCAUUUUAAUUGCUAAUCAAAUCGAUUUAUAAUUCUGUGUUGUCCAAGUAAUUUAUUAACUAUUACAAUUUGCUACUCUCAUCGCAUACCCCAUAGCCAGCACCUGCUCCCCCAUUCUCUACGUCUGUCGCUCUCUCAUUCUACCUCCCUGUUGUCUGGUAGAAGGGUGGCGGGUGGCGAGUGGCGCCAACUAUCGUCGACGGCGAGGCGGAAAAUCAUUUCGAAACGAAUUCGCGACAAAGGGAAGCGUGUGCGGUUUUCCCUUUUACAUUUUUACCCAUUUGAUUUUAUAAUUGAUUGAUGGCAUUGAUUGACUAUGAGUGGGGAAAAAUAGCUUACAUACAUUUGUGGCAGCAUUAAGUAGAUCAGAUCUUGGGCAGAUCUCGACCACUUCAGGGAACAGGAAGGAGACAAAUCUCUUGCCUGGAAAUGGUCGAUUAUAUCCGACUCUUGUGCUCCCUCCUGCCAGAUGGCGGGCCUAUAUAAAAAAUGAUCCAACAAACGUGUCGCAGACAGCGGGAAUUUGUUUGCUGUCGAAAAUAUUACAAUUUUCAUUUGUAAGUUUUUCGCACGCACAAACAAAAUCCCAAAAAUAUAAUAAACAUGAAAAUAAAUUGGCUCGGCAUCGCCGCCGAAACAUGGACACUACCGAUGCACAGAUGCACACACACACAGAGAAAGAUACACAGAUACAGAUACAGAUCUGUGAGGGCCCACAGUCAUGCUGGCAGAUACUUUUUAGCCACUUUGACUAAAGCAAUAACAUUAGCACUUGGCUGGCGCUGUUUUUGCCACAAAACUAUUUCUGGCACCUUACAAAAGAACAAGAAGCAAGAAAAAACA